AGGGUUUGAUCCUGGCUCAGGAUGAACGCUAGCGGCAGGCCUAACACAUGCAAGUCGAGGGGUAACAGGGAGAAGCUUGCUUUUCCGCUGACGACCGGCGCACGGGUGCGUAACGCGUAUACAAUCUGCCUUAUACUGGGGUAUAGCCUUUAGAAAUGAAGAUUAAUCCCCCAUAGUCUCUUAGAGUGGCAUCAUUUUAGGAGUAAAGGUUACGGUAUAAGAUGAGUAUGCGUUCUAUUAGUUUGUUGGUGAGGUAACGGCUCACCAAGGCUACGAUAGAUAGGGGCCCUGAGAGGGGGAUCCCCCACACUGGUACUGAGACACGGACCAGACUCCUACGGGAGGCAGCAGUGAGGAAUAUUGGACAAUGGAGGCAACUCUGAUCCAGCCAUGCCGCGUGCAGGAAGACUGCCCUAUGGGUUGUAAACUGCUUUUAUAUAGGAAGAAACCUACUUACGUGUAAGUAGCUGACGGUACUAUAAGAAUAAGGAUCGGCUAACUCCGUGCCAGCCGCCGCGGUAAUAC
RNAcentral lists this ribosomal RNA (525 nucleotides) under uncultured bacterium. RNAcentral describes it as "bacterial SSU rRNA". It matches the Rfam family "Bacterial small subunit ribosomal RNA", at positions 8 to 526 of the family's 1533-position model. The record is from RNAcentral.